AAGCUUCGACUAAGGUUCGAUUCGAGCGCAGCGAGAAAGCGUUGCCGUAGGCAACGACCCGAAGGGCGAAGCGCGCAGCGCUGAGUCAUCCUUCCCCCACCACCA
Molecule: small RNA, 105 nt
Filed under: Salmonella enterica subsp. enterica serovar Montevideo
Lineage: Bacteria; Pseudomonadati; Pseudomonadota; Gammaproteobacteria; Enterobacterales; Enterobacteriaceae
Also listed under: 2 other names
Description: partial RtT sRNA
Rfam family: RtT RNA
About the family: This family represents a bacterial cis-regulatory element known as RtT RNA. The exact function of RtT is unknown although it is thought that it may be involved in changing the cellular response in relation to amino acid starvation.
Source: RNAcentral